CAUUAAUUUCCAGUGUAAUUGGAUUAUUACUGACCGUGUGUAUUUGUGUGGCUGCAGAAGCUGAAGGAGUAUCUGGAAGGCAGUAAUCUCAUCGCUAAACUACAAGCCAAACAUGACAUGCUGAAGAGGAGCAUAGCUGAAGGAUACAGAGCAGACAUCAUGACAACCAGCCGUCGACGAAACUCCCACAGCAGGCACCAGG
Molecule: long non-coding RNA, 202 nt
Filed under: Sinocyclocheilus grahami
Lineage: Eukaryota; Metazoa; Chordata; Actinopteri; Cypriniformes; Cyprinidae
Description: lncRNA (ENSSGRG00000005911.1)
Source: RNAcentral